Molecule: ribosomal RNA, 450 nt
Filed under: uncultured bacterium
Lineage: Bacteria
Description: partial 16S ribosomal RNA
Rfam family: Bacterial small subunit ribosomal RNA
Source: RNAcentral
GUGGGGAAUCUUCCGCAAUGGACGAAAGUCUGACGGAGCAACGCCGCGUGAGUGAAGAAGGUUUUCGGAUCGUAAAGCUCUUUCGUUAGGGACGAACGUGCUCUUUGUGAAUAAUGAGGAGUAAUGACGGUACCUAAAUAAGAAGCCACGGCUAACUACGUGCCAGCAGCCGCGGUAAUACGUAGGUGGCAAGCGUUGUCCGGAAUUAUUGGGCGUAAAGCGCGCGCAGGCGGGAUAUCAAGUCUGUCUUAAAAGUGCGAGGCUCAACCUCGUGAGGGGACAGAAACUGGUAUUCUUGAGUGUCGGAGAGGAAAGUGGAAUUCCAAGUGGAGCGGUGAAAUGCGUAGAGAUUUGGAAGAACACCAGUGGCGAAGGCGACUUUCUGGACGAAAACUGACGCUGAGGCGCGAAAGCCAGGGGAGCGAACGGGAUUAGAAACCCGAGUAGUCC